RNAcentral lists this ribosomal RNA (500 nucleotides) under uncultured bacterium. Its description in RNAcentral is "partial 16S ribosomal RNA". It matches the Rfam family "Bacterial small subunit ribosomal RNA", at positions 30 to 523 of the family's 1533-position model. The record is from RNAcentral.
AUUGAACGCUGGCGGCAUGCCUUACACAUGCAAGUCGAACGGCAGCACGGGAGCAAUCCUGGUGGCGAGUGGCGAACGGGUGAGUAAUAUAUCGGAACGUGCCCAGUCGUGGGGGAUAACGAAGCGAAAGCUGUGCUAAUACCGCAUACGAACUAUGGAUGAAAGCGGGGGAUCGCAAGACCUAGCGCGAUUGGAGCGGCCGAUAUCAGAGUAGCUAGUAGGUGAGGUAAAGGCACACCAAGGCGACGAUAUGUAGCUGGUCUGAGAGGACGGCCAGCCACACGCUAACUGAGACACGAUCCAGACGCCUACGGUAGGCAUCAGUGUUGAAUUUUGGACAAUGGGCGAAAGCCUGAUCCAGCAAUGCCGCGUGCAGGAUGAAGGCCUUCGGGUUGUAAGCUGCUUUUGUACGGAACGAAACGGUGAGCUCUAAUACAGUUUGCUAAUGACGGUACCGUAAGAAUAAGCACCGGCUAACUACGUGCCAGCCGCCGCAGUAA